GAUGAAGAACGUAGCGAAAUGCGAUAAGUAAUGUGAAUUGCAGAAUUCAGUGAAUCAUCGAAUCUUUGAACGCACAUUGCGCCCGCCAGUAUUCUGGCGGGCAUGCCUGUUCGAGGGUCAUUUCAACCCUCAAGCCCCCGGGCUUGGUGUUGGGGAUCGGCGUGCCCUCGCGGCGCGCCGUCCCCUAAAUCUAGUGGCGGUCUCGCUGUAGCUUCCUCUGCGUAGUAGCAACACUCGCACUGGAUCGCAGCGCGGCCACGCCGUUAAACCCCCCACUUCUGAAAGUUUGACCUCGGAUCAGGUAGGAAUACCCGCUGAACUUAAGCAUAUCAAUAAGCGGAGGA
RNAcentral lists this unclassified non-coding RNA (344 nucleotides) under soil metagenome. RNAcentral's name for it is "partial contains 5.8S ribosomal RNA, internal transcribed spacer 2, and large subunit ribosomal RNA". The stretch from base 1 to 120 matches the Rfam family "5.8S ribosomal RNA", at positions 35 to 154 of the family's 154-position model. The record is from RNAcentral.